Molecule: long non-coding RNA, 1316 nt
Filed under: Phaseolus vulgaris (common bean)
Lineage: Eukaryota; Viridiplantae; Streptophyta; Magnoliopsida; Fabales; Fabaceae
Description: long non-coding RNA (PVUL_LNC004864)
Source: RNAcentral
UUGCAUACCAUUUUCUCUCUCUCUCUUCAUCAUUUUUUGUUCACUAUUCUCUCCUUCUUAGCAAUAAAUAGAAGGUGGCAUUAAAGUGUGAGUCCCCAGAGAAGUACUGAAGCUAUUUUUCAUAUCUUAUAUGUUUGGUGAGUUUUAAGUUGUUGUAUAGUUUUCUUUGUUCUUCUUUUUUUCUUUUUUUUUUUUACUUUCAAUCUUGAAUAGACUAAUGCUACAUAUAAUUGGUGUUGUUGAUAGAAGCUAAAUAAAUAAUAGACCUUCCUAAUUUCAUAAUUUAUAACAAAUGUUAAGUAUUAAAUAAUGAUUUUUCAGAAGAAAAAAAUUAUGAAAUUGUGAGCAUUUCUGUAACUCUGGGUUGGUGCAUCUGUUAUAAUUGUUGUGAUUGAGUUGUCUUUGCUUUUGAUGUAUAUGGGAAUUAAGAAAUACAAGCAAGGAUGAUAGCUUGGAUUUUCAAUCUGUAACCAAUGACUUCAAAAGAGGCACCGGACCUAAGAAAUUAUAAGUGCCCCUAAAGUGUUUGUAAAAAUGAUUGAGUUGAAUGAACCACUUAGUUUGUUAAGGUAGAGGAGAGUCUUCAGUGAUUUGGUACCUGCAGUAUUAUGAUUUGUCAAAGGAGACUCUGCAGAUUAUUUUUGGAAGGUUGUUUUUAGUGUGAAAUGUAGAAUUUUGAAUUUACCCAUCUUAGUUUAAUGAUCAAAUAUGGUUUUUUCCUUUAUAUGUUGUUUUUUUAUCGUUUUUGUUUAUUCUUUCAAUCACACUAUUUGACUGUUUCUUUUCUUGGUUCAGUAUUUACUCCUCCGUUCAUUUCCGAUGGAGCCAUCCGAAAAUGCCACUGCUUAACCAUUUGUGACAGCAAAGAUUAUUCUUCAAGCAUUAACACAUAUAUACCUGUCCAACAUUUUCUUUGAUGCAUGUUUUGUAUGCAUAAAUAGUUUUUUAUUUUUUUUAUAUGUUGGAUCUUCACUUGGAUACCAGGGAUUAUUCUUCAUUACUAUGUCAAUAAUUACUAUUUCAUUGUAUGAUUCUUCAUAAUCUUGUCUUUUAGUGAAGGUUGUGCAUACCAGGGAGCAGUGUUUCUGCAUUUUUACUUGUGUCUUAAUUUUGUAUCAAGAGUAAUGAAUCUUGAUGAAGGUCCUCAGCCUCAAACAGUGUUGAAACUAUUUACCAAUGGAUCUAACUUGAACAUGUCAGAUUGUCAAAUGAGAUGCUACAGAUUUAUUGAUUAGGGAAUAGGUACUUAAUUUAACUGUUAAAGUUAUACAUGUUAGGAUUGUGAGUCUAAAUAGCAUGUUGAAUAGAAAUAAAAA